CAGCUGCUGCUGGUUUCAUGGACGGAUCAGUUUUGGAAAGAGUUGUACACAGACGGUCUAAUGCUGCUGCUCUUCAGCUUCAGAGUGAGUUGUCAGCUGGUAAGCCUCGAGUGAAGGAGGUGCUGGGAUUGGCCAGGAGAAAUGGUUGAGAUGUGGAGCUCCUGGGCCCGCUGCUCCACUUCUACUAUAUAUACUUGCUUCCUGUGGUCUACUGGGCUCUUUCUGCUCCUGGUUCUAGCCGCUGACGCCACAUGCACCAUUUAUGUUAGCUUCUUUUGUUAGUGCACUUUCCAACACCUUGCACCACAUCAUUUCCACAUAGCCACAUACACACUACUGAUAUUACAGACUAGACACACUCCA
Molecule: long non-coding RNA, 363 nt
Organism: Acanthochromis polyacanthus (spiny chromis)
Lineage: Eukaryota; Metazoa; Chordata; Actinopteri; Pomacentridae
Exons: 3
Source: RefSeq, a predicted model, not a curated record